UCACACAGCUCCCUUAAAAAAGAAAACAAUCUCUUCUAGCGGAUAAUUUAUCCACUACUCCUAAACUGUGGGCCUUCAAGCAGCCACCAAUAAAGAAUGCGUCACAGCUCUUCACAUAAAAAUUUUACAACAAAAUGACUCCCUUCUCAUUAACAGGCUAACCUAUGAUCAAUAGGAGAAUCAAUGCUAAAAUGAGUAACUAGGAAUUUCUUCCUCUUAAGCGCAAACUUACAUCUCACAUUAUUAACAGAUUACAAACCAAUACUCUAACUCAACAAGAUUAAAAUAUUGAACACAUCCUGUUAUUCCAACUCAGGUGCGCUCAUUAGAAAGAUUAAAAUCUGCAAAAGGAACUAGGCAAACUCAAGGCCCGACUGUUUACCAAAAACAUAGCCUUCAGCUGACCAAGUAUUGAAGGUGAUGCCUGCCCAGUGACAUAAUGUUUAACGGCCGCGGUAUCCUAACCGUGCGAGGGUAGCGCAAUCAAUUGUCCCAUAAAUCGAGACUUGUAUGAAUGGCUAAACGAGGUCUUAACUGUCUCUUGCAGAUAAUCAGUGAAAUUGAUCUCCCUGUUCAAAAGCAGGAAUAUACCCAUAAGACGAGAAGACCCUGUGGAACUUAAAAAUCAAUAGCCACUGCUAAUCAAUUACAAACCUAAUAGGCUUACCAACUCACAAUGCUGGCUAAUUUUUUUCGGUUGGGGCGACCUUGGAGAAAAACAAAUCCUCCAAAAAUAAGACCAUACCUCUUAACCAAGAGCAACCCCUCGACGUACAAACAGUAACCAGACCCAAUAUAAUUGAUAAAUGGACCAAGCUACCCCAGGGAUAACAGCGCAAUCCCCUCUAAGAGCCCCCAUCGACGAGGAGGUUUACGACCUCGAUG
This 885-nucleotide ribosomal RNA is filed under the name Actitis hypoleucos (common sandpiper). RNAcentral describes it as "partial 16S ribosomal RNA". It matches the Rfam family "Bacterial large subunit ribosomal RNA", at positions 1239 to 2531 of the family's 2925-position model. The record is from RNAcentral. Lineage: Eukaryota; Metazoa; Chordata; Aves; Charadriiformes; Scolopacidae.